CGCCGCCGCCGCAGUCUUCUGCUGCGUCUUCUGCGUCCGCCGCGGUCGACUUCUGCUGUUUGCUGGCGUGUGUUUCUGCUGCGUGCGCCGCCGCGGGACGCGUUUGGGCGCCGCUGGUCACUGACUGGUGUUUUGCAUCAAAAGCAUUGUCGCCUGACAUUCUGUCAGGCCUCAUCUCCAGCCUCGCUGCUGACGCCAGGAGUCGUGUGGAGCUGGACGGCAGAGUACAGCGGAUAUAACGCAGGGGCGACCCGGCAUGUAGCUGCGGCGAGUGGCAGAGACAGCAGCUCCGUGGAGCGCGCCGCACCGCCCGCCCGACAGACGGAUACGCAGACACCGCAGACGGCGUCAGACAGCGGCGAGUGGCUCGCGGACAGCAGACAGUGCCACCAGACAGCGAAUAUGAAGGUACUGCUGGUGAUAUUCGUGUUCGGAUG
Pollicipes pollicipes is the source of this 437-nucleotide long non-coding RNA. RefSeq lists it as uncharacterized. Lineage: Eukaryota; Metazoa; Arthropoda; Thecostraca; Pollicipedomorpha; Pollicipedidae. The record is from RefSeq and is a predicted model, not a curated record. The transcript is spliced from 3 exons.